UACGUAGGGGGCUAGCGUUGUCCGGAAUCAUUGGGCGUAAAGAGCGUGUAGGCGGUUUGGUAAGUCCGCUGUGAAAGUCCAGGGCUCAACCCUGGAAUGCCAGUGGAAACUGUCAAGCUAGAGUCCGGAAGAGGCGAGUGGAAUUCCUGGUGUAGCGGUGAAAUGCGCAGAUAUCAGGAGGAACACCAAUGGCGAAGGCAGCUCGCUGGGACGGUACUGACGCUGAGACGCGAAAGCGUGGGGAGCAAACAGG
RNAcentral lists this ribosomal RNA (253 nucleotides) under uncultured bacterium. Its description in RNAcentral is "partial 16S ribosomal RNA". It matches the Rfam family "Bacterial small subunit ribosomal RNA", at positions 524 to 776 of the family's 1533-position model. The record is from RNAcentral.